AUUGAACGCUGGCGGCAGGCCUAACACAUGCAAGUCGGACGGUAGCCCAGAGGAGCUUGCUCCUCGGGUGACGAGUGGCGGACGGGUGAGUAAUGUCUGGGGAUCUGCCCGAUAGAGGGGGAUAACCACUGGAAACGGUGGCUAAUACCGCAUAACGUCGCAAGACCAAAGAGGGGGACCUUCGGGCCUCUCACUAUCGGAUGAACCCAGAUGGGAUUAGCUAGUAGGCGGGGUAAUGGCCCACCUAGGCGACGAUCCCUAGCUGGUCUGAGAGGAUGACCAGCCACACUGGAACUGAGACACGGACCAGACUCCUACGGGAGGCAGCAGUGGGGAAUAUUGCACAAUGGGGGCAAGCCUGAUGCAGCGAUGCCGCGUGUAUGAAGAAGGCCUUCGGGUUGUAAAGUACUUUCAGCGGGGAGGAAGGCGAUGUGGUUAAUAACCUUGUCGAUUGACGUUACCCGCAGAAGAAGCACCGGCUAACUCCGUGCCAGCCGCCGCAGUAA
RNAcentral lists this ribosomal RNA (506 nucleotides) under uncultured bacterium. Its description in RNAcentral is "partial 16S ribosomal RNA". It matches the Rfam family "Bacterial small subunit ribosomal RNA", at positions 29 to 523 of the family's 1533-position model. The record is from RNAcentral.